Long non-coding RNA from Stegostoma tigrinum, 1026 nucleotides. RefSeq lists it as uncharacterized. The transcript is spliced from 4 exons. The record is from RefSeq and is a predicted model, not a curated record. Lineage: Eukaryota; Metazoa; Chordata; Chondrichthyes; Orectolobiformes; Stegostomatidae.
UUCCGCCUCUUGCUUGCUAAUGGCCGUUACAUGUUUUGGUCAGCUAUGGAGCAUGCGCACUGGGAGGGAUGUCCGGAAUGAAAUAGACCUCCAUGAGAGCCACAAGCUGGCAUUCAACAACUUGAAAACUGGAUUGAAAAUGAGAGACAGAGCAGCCACUCCAGAAGCUUCCAAAAUCACGCUGCACCUUCUUGAACUGCUGCAAUCCACGUGGUGACGUAGCUCCCAUGUUGCAAUUUGGAUGUGGACUUCCCUGGUUUGGCCAGAAUUUAUUGCCCAUCUGUGAUUGCCCAGAGGGCUAUCAAGUGUCAACUGCAUUGCCGUACGGCUGGAGUCACAUACAGAUGAAACCAGGGAAUUGGAAAGGGAGCAUUUACUGACCGGCAGCUCAACUCAUACACUGGAUCAAAAACUGCCAAGAACACUUUAUUCUCAGGAGCUUUGAACAUGGAAGGAACAAGCAUCAUUUGCAGUGAAGAGAAACCAUACAUGUGGUCUGUGUGGACAAGCCUUCAGUCAGUUGUCUGGCCUGUCAGUACGUAAAUGCAGUCAAAACAGGAUGACAACAAUGACAUCAAGCAGCACUUGCUUUGUAAUAGAUAGAUCUCAGUUUGAGUUAAGCAAUGGUCACUCAUAUCCUCUCCUCCUUAUGUUCUUGGUACAAACCUAGACCAAACAGCUGAAUUCCAAAUGUGAGAGUGACUAUCCACUAUCUUAAGACUCCCUUUGACAGAGCAUUGUAUGAAGGAAUCAUGACAAAGCUAAAUUCAAUAGGAACCAGAGAAUUUUAUUCUUCCUUGAACAGCCGGUUUUUGAAAACAUUGUGUCUUCAGACCUCAGUAGAUUGAAACAAGGUGAAUUUAUUUUAACUUGUACCACAGACAUACGGAAGAGGUCUCUAAGUCUAGCUCGGAGACACACAACCUUUUACAGCUCUAAACAGCAUAUUAAGGCAUUUUCACAUCAGAAUGGUUGCAUGUAACAUUGGCACAUAAUUUAUUACAUAUCAGUUACUUAUUACAAAAA